CAAAGGGUAGUUUAUUAAAAUAUUAAUUUUGGAGAUUAAUGAUGAAAUUAUUUUUUCUCCUUUGA
This 65-nucleotide transfer RNA is filed under the name Platychile pallida. Its description in RNAcentral is "tRNA-Pro". The record is from RNAcentral. Lineage: Eukaryota; Metazoa; Arthropoda; Insecta; Coleoptera; Carabidae.